AGUCGAACGAUUAACCCAAACUUCGGUUUGGUUAUAAAGUGGCGAACGGGUGAGUAACACGUGACCAACCUGCCUUCUAGAUCGGGAUAACUCAAGGAAACUUGUGCUAAUACCGGAUACUCCGGAGCAAUCGCAUGGUAGCUCCGGGAAAGCUUUUGCGCUAGAAGAUGGGGUCGCGGCCUAUUAGGUAGUUGGUGGGGUAGAGGCCUACCAAGCCUGCGAUAGGUAGCCGGGUUGAGAGACUGAUCGGCCACAUUGGGACUGAGAUACGGCCCAGACUCCUACGGGAGGCAGCAGUGGGGAAUUUUGCGCAAUGGGGGCAACCCUGACGCAGCAACGCCGCGUGCGGGAUGAAGGUCUUCGGAUUGUAAACCGCUUUCAGUAGGGAAUAAGUAUGAAGGUACCUACAGAAGAAGCACCGGCUAAAUACGUGCCAGCAGCCGCGGUAAUACGUAUGGUGCAAGCGUUAUCCGGAAUCAUUGGGCGUAAAGCGCGCGUAGGCGGCUUGUUAAGCAGGAAUUUAAAUCUUAGGGCUCAACCUUAAGUCGGUUCCUGAACUGGCAGGCUCGAGUGCGGUAGAGGAAGGUGGAAUUCCCAGUGUAGCGGUGAAAUGCGCAGAUAUUGGGAAGAACACCGAUGGCGAAGGCAGCCUUCUGGGCCGCCACUGACGCUGAGGCGCGAAAG
Molecule: ribosomal RNA, 684 nt
Filed under: uncultured bacterium
Lineage: Bacteria
Description: bacterial SSU rRNA
Rfam family: Bacterial small subunit ribosomal RNA
Source: RNAcentral